UACGUAGGGACCAAGCGUUGUCCGGAAUCAUUGGGCGUAAAGCGCGCGUAGGUGGCCAUUUAAGUCCGCUGUGAAAGUCAGAGGCUCAACCUUUGAAAGCCGGUGGAUACUGGAUGGCUAGAGUACGGAAGAGGCGAGUGGAAUUCCUGGUGUAGCGGUGGAAUGCGCAGAUAUCAGGAGGAACACCAAUAGCGAAGGCAGCUCGCUGGGACGUUACUGACACUAAGGCGCGAAAGCAUGGGGAGCGAACAGG
This 253-nucleotide ribosomal RNA is filed under the name uncultured bacterium. RNAcentral describes it as "partial 16S ribosomal RNA". It matches the Rfam family "Bacterial small subunit ribosomal RNA", at positions 524 to 776 of the family's 1533-position model. The record is from RNAcentral.